This 2679-nucleotide long non-coding RNA is filed under the name Homo sapiens (human). RNAcentral describes it as "non-protein coding lnc-SLC2A3-1:1". The record is from RNAcentral. Lineage: Eukaryota; Metazoa; Chordata; Mammalia; Primates; Hominidae.
ACGAACAACAAAAUUCAUUGAUGAUGACAGAAGUGAAAAUUGUGAUUUCUAGCUGGGAGUGGUGGCUUAUACCUGUAAUCCCAGCUGCUCGGGAGGCUGAGGCAGGAGAAUGGCUUCAACCCGGGAGGCGGAGGUUGCAGUGAGCUGAGAUCACACCAGUGCACUCCGGCCUGGGUGGACAGAGCAAGACUCCAUCUCGAAAAAUAAAAAAAAAAAAUCUUGGUUUCUUCUGGCAAGGGCGGCUGUAGACUUGAACCGGCACAAGGAGCCUUUUUGAGGAGCAAGAAAUGUUAAAGAAUCUAGAUUUUGCCAGGCUCGGUGGCUCAUGUCUGUAAUCCCAGCACUUUGGAGGCCAAGGAGCGGGGGGCGGGGGGGUGGAUCACCUGAGGUUAGGAGUUCCAGACCAGCCUGACUAACAUGGAGAAACCCCAUCUCUGCUAAAAAAUACAAAAUUAGCCGGGCAUGGUGGCGCGUGCCUGUAAUCCCAGCUACGCAGGAGGCUGAGGCAGGACAAUCACUUUAACUCGGGAGUUGGAGGUUAUGGUGAGCCAAUGGCGCCAUGCACUCCAGCCUGGGCGACAGUGCAAGACUCCCAUCUCAAAAAAAAAAAAAAAAAUUAGCUGGGCAUGGUGGUGCAAAAAAAAAAUCUAGAUCUUGAUCCGGUUAAUGUUUAUGCCUGUGAAUACAGAUAUAAAUAUUCACCCAACUGUAAACUCCAGAUUAGUGCAUUUUUAUCUGCUUUAUUGCAUGUGCCCUUCAGUAAAGUAGAAAAAAAUAAAAGACAAAAAUAAAGGAAGGAAGAACUCACCCUCAAUUCUAUCACCACUAGAAAACAAUGUUUUUUUUUUCUUGAAAUGUUUGCAUUCUAACCGCCCCAGCACUAAGAAGAGGUUCAGUUUUGUAAUUGGAACGUCUGAUGAGCAUCUGAUGAGUGGAUCUAGAGGUUAUCCCCUCAUGUCGAGUUGAUGAUGAUAUUUCAGCUUCUAGACUUGAGCAAGAUGACAGCAAAGGGAAGCGGAAACCCUGGGUCACUGGUUCAGGAAGACGGCCAGGUUUACAUCAACGUUGCAACAAAUCUGGUGGCUUUUUUUUUCGUUUCGUGUUGCUGUUUCUUUUCUUCCUCUUCAUCUUUGGGUCCGUUUGCUACUUUUCUUGGAUUGAUUUUCCACUCUACCCCACUACACAACGUACUCUUUGGGGAGGAGGGGGGUCUUUACAUUUUCUUCCACUCUCCGACUUUCCCAUAUUUUCUCAUGUGUCUCAGUGAAUUCAAUGGUAUGUGCUAACAUUUUCUUUUAUGAGUCUAUUCCAGGGGCUCACAUCCUGUCCCCUGCCCGAGGAGCCUUCCAGUAGCCUUUACAGCCGCAUUCUCAGGCUUUCAUCCACUCUUUUUGAAACAGCGCCUGUGACAUUCCCACUCAUUACAGCGUGCCCCUCCCAUGCCUCCAGGAAAUUCUCUGUUUUCCCACCGGUUUUCUACUCAGCAGCUAUUCUCAGUCUAAUGCGCUUCAUUCACCGUCAGCCUUCCUCAGGAAGACAUAAAAAAAGGGUGAAAAAGAACAUUUAUUUCUCAGGAAGGAUUGGUCAGCUGACUAAGUUGUCUGAGGGUCUAAAAAGAUGAGGGGGUAACUCAAAGCAUAAAUGCUUGAGGAGAUGGAUACCCCAUUCUCCAUGAGGUGAUUAUUUUACAUUGCAUGCUUGCAUUAAAACAUCAUGGACCCCAUAAAUAUAUACACCUACUACAUACUCACAAAAAAAUUUUUUUAAUUGUUUUUAAAGGGGAAGGGGAAGGAUUAGCAGAAAUACUAUAGGUGAAGGGGAAACAAAAGUAUGUGUCUUAUUGUAUGCGCCUUCCCUUUUACAUUGAGUUGCUCUAGUUUCCCGGUUGUUUCUGUUUCCGUAGUGUUUGGUUCAUACGUGGUACUUACGUAAAUAUUUCACCAACAUAUGAAAAAGUGAAUGCGUGAGGGAGAAAACCUGUAAGUCGUGAUUGAAAAAUGACAGGCUAACUGCCCAAGAUUCAGGAUGCUGAGCUUUCUAAGAUGAUGAAAAUUUCUGUGCGGAUUGGGGUAGUGGCAACACUGGUGUGUGUGUGUGUGUGUGAGAGAGAGAGAGAGAGAGAAAAGUCGUCCACCUGCACACCUAAAAGGUUUGAAUUGUAUUGUGUACAUUUUAUACAUAAAAUUGACUUUAAAAAAGACUCAGCGUGCUGCUCGGGCAUAAUGAAGGGAGAGAGUUUGUAAACAUAGGAGGCUGUGUGGAAGCGUGAAAUGUGAAACGUGGAGUGUACGUGGGAAAGAAGAGCAAUAAAAGGACCUGCAGCUAAAGAGGCAACGUGGUCGGGUGAGAGGAGGGGAUGGGGAUGGAAACUCACACAGCUGAGUGGGGCUAAAAGGGACGUUUGAGGAUUACUGGCCUAGCACAAAACAUCUGCCCUUAAGGCGAAACCCUCUUAAAACCUUUGGCGGCUUUCCAGAGAAGACGCCGAUUCCUGAAAAUUGCAAGGCUCUCCGGCGGGCUGGGAGUGGGAGGCGCUCCCGGUGUCCCCCAGCAUGUGGGAGUCGGCGGGACCUGAGCCCCGCCUUCCUGCAGCGGCCGGGACGUGCCGUGUGGCACGCUACCCGCCGCGCGCGCAUCCUGUCCCCCGCCCUCGGAAUCCCAGCACGGGGGCCGAGCCCC